This 1047-nucleotide ribosomal RNA is filed under the name uncultured bacterium. Its description in RNAcentral is "bacterial SSU rRNA". It matches the Rfam family "Bacterial small subunit ribosomal RNA", at positions 34 to 1064 of the family's 1533-position model. The record is from RNAcentral.
CGCUGGCGGCGUGCCUAACACAUGCAAGUCGAACGAGAAAAUUCUGCUUGGCGGGAUGAGUAAAGUGGCGCACGGGUGAGUAACGCGUGGGUAACCUGCCCUUGAAUCGGGGAUAACUUCGCGAAAGCGUAGCUAAUACCGGAUACUGUCCCUAAGGCUAUGGCCCUGGGGAUGAAAGGUGACCUCUUCAUGAAAGUUGCCGUUUGGGGAGGGGCUCGCGUACCAUUAGCUUGUUGGCGGGGUAAUAGCCCACCAAGGCUACGAUGGUUAGCUGGUCUGAGAGGAUGAUCAGCCACACUGGAACUGAAACACGGUCCAGACUCCUACGGGAGGCAGCAGUGAGGAUUUUGCGCAAUGGGGAAACCCUGACGCAGCAACGCCGCGUGAGUGAAGAAGGCUUUCGGGUCGUAAAGCUCUGUCAAAUGGGAAAAAACACUAUCGAUGAAUAGUCGAUAGAAUUGAUGGUACCAUUAGAGGAAGCACCGGCUAACUCCGUGCCAGCAGCCGCGGUAAUACGGAGGGUGCGAGCGUUGUUCGGAAUUAUUGGGCGUAAAGAGCGUGUAGGCGGUUUGGUAAGUCAGAUGUGAAAGCCCUGGGCUCAACCCAGGAAGUGCAUUUGAUACUGCCAUCCUUGAGUAUGGGAGAGGAGAGUGGAAUUCCAGUGUAGAGGUGAAAUUCGUAGUAUUGGGAGACACCGUGCGAGGCACUCUCUGGACCAAACGAGCUGGACGCGAAAGCGUGGGGAGCAAACAGGAUUAGAUACCCUGGUAGUCCACGCCGUAAACGAUGAGAACUAGGUGUAGCGGGUAUUGACCCCUGCUGUGCCGGAGCUAACGCAUUAAGUUCUCCGCCUGGGGAGUACGGCCGCAAGGCUAAAACUCAAAGGAAUUGACGGGGGCCCGCACAAGCGGUGGAGCAUGUGGUUUAAUUCGACGCAACGCGAAGAACCUUACCUGGAUUUGACAUCCUCUGACAGUCCCGGAAACGGGAUCUUUCCGACUUGUCGGAACAGAGUGACAGGUGCUGCAUGGCUGUCGUCAGCUCGUG